Molecule: ribosomal RNA, 430 nt
Filed under: uncultured bacterium
Lineage: Bacteria
Description: partial 16S ribosomal RNA
Rfam family: Bacterial small subunit ribosomal RNA
Source: RNAcentral
GUGGGGAAUAUUGCACAAUGGGCGCAAGCCUGAUGCAGCAACGCCGCGUGAGGGACGACGGCCUUCGGGUUGUAAACCUCUUUUAGCAGGGAAGAAGCGAAAGUGACGGUACCUGCAGAAAAAGCACCGGCUAACUACGUGCCAGCAGCCGCGGUAAUACGUAGGGUGCAAGCGUUGUCCGGAAUUAUUGGGCGUAAAGAGCUCGUAGGCGGUUUGUCGCGUCUGCUGUGAAAACCCGAGGCUCAACCUCGGGCCUGCAGUGGGUACGGGCAGACUAGAGUGCGGUAGGGGAGAUUGGAAUUCCUGGUGUAGCGGUGGAAUGCGCAGAUAUCAUGAGGAACACCGAUGGCGAAGGCAGAUCUCUGGGCCGUAACUGACGCUGAGGAGCGAAAGCGUGGGGAGCGAACAGGAUUAGAUACCCUGGUAGUCC